Molecule: ribosomal RNA, 253 nt
Filed under: uncultured bacterium
Lineage: Bacteria
Description: partial 16S ribosomal RNA
Rfam family: Bacterial small subunit ribosomal RNA
Source: RNAcentral
UACAGAGACUGCAAGCGUUCUUCGGAUUCACUGGGCGUAAAGGGUGCGCAGGCGGCCGUGUGUGUGAGGCGUGAAAGCCCGGGGCUUAACCCCGGAAUUGCACCUCAAACUACACGGCUAGAGCAUUGGAGAGGGUAGCAGAAUUCACGGUGUAGCAGUGAAAUGCGUAGAUAUCGUGAGGAAUACCAGAGGCGAAGGCGGCUACCUGGACAAUUGCUGACGCUCAGGCACGAAAGCGUGGGGAGCAAAAGGG